This 252-nucleotide ribosomal RNA is filed under the name uncultured bacterium. RNAcentral describes it as "partial 16S ribosomal RNA". It matches the Rfam family "Bacterial small subunit ribosomal RNA", at positions 524 to 776 of the family's 1533-position model. The record is from RNAcentral.
UACGUAGGUCCCGAGCGUUGUCCGGAUUUAUUGGGCGUAAAGCGAGCGCAGGUGGUUUAUUAAGUCUGGUGUAAAAGGCAGUGGCUCAACCAUUGUAUGCAUUGGAAACUGGUAGACUUGAGUGCAGGAGAGGAGAGUGGAAUUCCAUGUGUAGCGGUGAAAUGCGUAGAUAUAUGGAGGAACACUGGUGGCGAAAGCGGCUCUCUGGCCUGUAACUGACACUGAGACUCGAAAGCGUGGGGAGCAAACAGG